Molecule: long non-coding RNA, 2526 nt
Organism: Gasterosteus aculeatus aculeatus (three-spined stickleback)
Lineage: Eukaryota; Metazoa; Chordata; Actinopteri; Perciformes; Gasterosteidae
Source: Ensembl
CGUUUACGGUUCCACCGCUGAAUGAAACCCAAAAGCCCAGAGGUCAGCACGGCAACGAGCAUUCACGUCCAGAUCUGGAAAGUAGACAAAGGGCCGAGUGGAGAGAGAUGUGUCUGAAUAUUAAACUCAUUUGUCUGAGAUAAAUUGGAUUUUUUUAAAGUCUUGAAAUGGGGAGAUUUAAUGGUUCUAGACAGAAAUAAAAAACAGAUUGAGUGGACUGAGAUUCUCGUCCCGCAUUAUAUGGAUGAACAGCGCCGCCUGGUGGCAGAAACAACAGCAAAUCCACUCAAUAAAAGAAAAAUUGCAUUUUGACCAAAAGGAAAUAUAUGGGCUUUAAGUGAUUGAGAUGCCAUAACAUGCAUUGUGAAUUUAGGCAUUUCCGUAGUUGAGCAUGGAGCUUUGAUUACAUUUAGGCACUCACAAGAGUAUAAUUAAUAAAAGAAUGGGGACGAUUACGGCAACUGAAGCCGAACAAAAAUAAAAAAACACUUUCCAUAAUGCAACUUUUUAAAUAUACCCCAAUCAAAGAAAAGGAUUGGAAAGCAAAUGAAUUUAACAAAACAGCCACAAGCAGAGAAAAGUACAUUUGCAAGAAAAGAAUGUUUAUUCCUUGUAAACCUCACAGAGCGAGAGCACAGCCAGAGUCAGACCUGGGGAGAAACAGAGCAGUGAAAACAAAAAAAACAACAAAACCCAUCUCGAUGCUCUCAACAAUCAGUUGAGGAGAAGACUGCCUAGACCGUAAGUUUCACAACAUCUUCUCAUCCCCAGGAACCAAUGACAGCAUUGUGAGCGAGAAAAAUAAAGCGUCUCCAUUUACAGUCUGUGAAAAUCACACGCAAAAACAAUGACCAUUUCGGAGAAUGUUGAAACCACGUCAAGACUUUAGCCAUUUUUCGUCCCUGCAGGAAAAUAACACCAGAAAACAGGAAACGCUGCUUUGGAAACAGCCGCUUUCCCGACAGUCGCAAAUACUGAAACAUUCACAAAAAGAAAUGUGACUUUUUCGUCCCUUACUUUUAACGACACAGUCUACUACAAACAGGUGACCGCUUUAUCUACCUGCCGAACACAAACUUUCAUGAAGUGAUGACCAAGUGGAUACUCGACAAACUCGUCACCCGAUGUUCUUGUGGUACAUUCUUGAACACUUUUCCAGAGAAAUGAGCUUUCCCAGUGUUGGCACACAAACUCAAGUGGAGGAUUAAAUUAUUAUUAUUUUUUUUAAGGAUCAAAAUUGGCAUUCCCGAAGCAUAGUUUACAUUUCAUAGUCCGUCUUUACAUUUUUCCCUUUCGGACAGCGUGUGUUUUCUACAGUGCAACUUUUAAUGGGGAGAUCAUAACAAAGCAGAGGCGGGUGUGUUGGGUGGGGGGGGCAAGCAGCCUGACCGAGGGAUUUGGGGUUCAACAGCCGUGGAGAUGAGCUUCUGUGGGUGGACAUGUAAACAGUAGACUCUGUGGUGGGCAAACAUCAGGUCACCAUACUGAACAGGUAAAUAGGAGAACAAUUAAUUAGGUGCCAUCUAUUGUUUGCGCCAAUGUGACUUACUGAAAGGAGCAAAGCUUCCCUUAAAUAAACACUGUGGCUCACCUUCACCACCAGUCUGGAGGUUAGGAAGGAACCCAAAAGCCCAAAUUGGCACACCUGAAGGCAACUUUGUCCCACGUCACUGGGCGGGGUCAAAUUCUCCUCCUCGGCAAGAUGUUUCACCAGUAGUUCAGGGUCGGGCCGUACCUCAUUACUCACUCGUCCUUAACUCAAGGCACUGAGAUCAUGGACACCGAUGAAAGACGAUGUCGAGCGCGGACAAGCACACACACGCACGCACAUUUCUUUUACCGAGCUCAAAAACUCACUUCAGGCCUGACUUUGGGAGCUGCAAGGGUUCAAAUCAUUUUAGGGCCUAUGUUUCUUAUAACAUAAUAUAUUAUCCAACGUGUUGCAUUAAACACUUCCAGCCUAUUAAAACAACACUUGAAUUUUAAAGAGCGAACAAAUGGAACCACGCAAUGCACCUACAAAUAAAUUAUUUACGUCCUGUUCCCCGAAGCAGCGGGGAGCAGGGUUCAUUUGGUGCCUUCAACGGUAAAUGACAACAGAACGGGGAGAGUGUGCCAACUUGCACUACAUUCCUCAGGUUGCACAGAUGCUGCCAGACUAUGUGGGGAGAGAACAAUCUAUCAAAGAGGUGGUGAAGUCAGGCCGUGCGUCUGUAUGAUUUAAAGGAGAACUUUUUCCAAAAGGUUUAGGAGGCGAGACUCAACCUAUAAAAAGGAAUGAAUCUAUUCCCCGGGAACAAAGGGCGGGUAACCGCGGUAACCGUGGCAGGCGGCUGCAUCGGUGGAGGGGAGAGGGAGAGCAAACACCCUUGAGAUGAAGAUACCCGGUUCUGUGAGGUUUCACUAGACACUUAAGAGAAGAAAAAAAAAAAAGAGCUGCGGCUUCCUAGUUGACAUGUGAUGUCCGUUGAAAGUUUUUUUUUUUUUGUCUUUUGUUUUACCUACAACAAAAACACGCCGAAAAAA